Molecule: long non-coding RNA, 765 nt
Filed under: Homo sapiens (human)
Lineage: Eukaryota; Metazoa; Chordata; Mammalia; Primates; Hominidae
Description: non-protein coding SNHG15:24
Source: RNAcentral
GUCAGUCUUGGCUGGCAGACCUGUACUCCGUACUCCGUACUUCGUAGUCGCAGCGGCGCGGUCUUCGGCAGUCUAGUCAUCCACCGCCAUCCUGGGCCCCACGUGUUGCCUGACCAUUCCUGAGCCCAGGUGGGAGCCGUGGCUGAGGUGACGGUCUCAAAGUGGAAGAGCUUACUGUCACAGCAACUCCUUUGCAAGAUGCCCCGGUAAAUCACGUUGCAGAGACCCCAACUCUGCCUUCCUGGAACUAGGCCUGCGUUUUCUCUGAACCAUUAUUUCAUGGGGAAAAUGAAAUCUACUUCAUGUGCCUGGUCUACUUACUCCUUCAGAAGUGAUUUCUGAGCCGUAAGAUACAUGAGAAAAAAAUGAAGGGGAAAAGGCAGUAUUUAUAUUAACUACAUGAUGAUAAGGAUGUUUCUGGUCACAGUGAAAAGCCAUGCUAGAAUUGUAGUGUCAUAGAAUAAUGUGGAAGUUUAGUUCGUGUUGUCUGAUCUAUUUAAUAAUUUAAUAAGGUUAUCUCUUCCAAGACACCUUCCCUUCUUCCUCAGCCAGAAAGGAUCUUUCCCUGAGAGUCAUUAGUAGCUCUGGGCUCCUGGAACCAAGCUCAGGUGCCUAAUUGAACUCUGGUCUCUUCCCACAGCCCCCAGCAGGGACUGGUGCUUAGUGAGAGUGGACUGCCAGAUUCCUUGAGUGUGGGGGAUUUGGGUGAAUGAGGGUAGCAAGCCUCCAGCGUGCUUGGGUCUGCGGUGACCCUAUGCAUUCCUU